UCAGCAAACACCUUUACUUCCCGGCUUGCCUUCAGGAAUGCACACACACACACACACACACACACACACACACACGCGCGCACACACACAGAGGCAGAGCUGAUAUCUCAGAGUGUGACCGCUCACAGGCUCUCCAGGGUGCAAUGCCCUGCUUCUUGUGCACAGCUUGUUUGCUUGAGCAGAGAAUGCCCUCUCACAGUGCAUGCACUUAACUAUGGCCGUCUUGCAUACCUCUGUUUCGGGGCAGGUCGCUCUAGAGACUCCUUCACUCACAAUUCCACUGACGACCACUUAAUCACUGUUUGCCUUUGACACUAAGGAGUCACGUGACUUAGGCAUCACGUGGUGUCCGCGGCUGCGCGCCAUGCUCCUCCCAGAGCUGGACUUACCCUCUCUCUGGAAGCCCGCCUGUAGUUGAGGGUCAUGAGUUCUGCGAACCUCUGCUCAUACAGGUGGAGCAGCAGCACCAGGUACAAGCCUGAGUUCAUCAGCUCACUCUGUGCCUGCAUGCAGAAGACAGAGUCCACAAGUUAUCUCUGAAAUAUUCACAAGCUCAGCCACAGGGCGGAAGGUGAGAGAGCUGGAGUUUUGGAGGGACUGUGUGACCACCGGGACCCCACUGUUUGGAGGAAGAGGGGAAUUAGAGUUUUGGAACUGCAGACUGCUCUAAG
Long non-coding RNA from Rattus norvegicus (Norway rat), 671 nucleotides. RefSeq lists it as uncharacterized. The record is from RefSeq and is a predicted model, not a curated record. Lineage: Eukaryota; Metazoa; Chordata; Mammalia; Rodentia; Muridae.